Molecule: ribosomal RNA, 497 nt
Filed under: uncultured bacterium
Lineage: Bacteria
Description: partial 16S ribosomal RNA
Rfam family: Bacterial small subunit ribosomal RNA
Source: RNAcentral
GAUGCACGCUGGCGGCGUGCCUAAUACAUGCAAGUCGAGCGAACAGACGAGGAGCUUGCUCCUCUGACGUUAGCGGCGGACGGGUGAGUAACACGUGGAUAACCUACCUAUAAGACUGGGAUAACUUCGGGAAACCGGGGCUAAUACCGGAUAAUAUAUUGAACCGCAUGGUUCAAUAGUGAAAGACGGUUUUGCUGUCACUUAUAGAUGGAUCCGCGCCGCAUUAGCUAGUUGGUAAGGUAACGGCUUACCAAGGCAACGAUGCGUAGCCGACCUGAGAGGGUGAUCGGCCACACUGGAACUGAGACACGGUCCAGACUCCUACGGGAGGCAGCAAUAGGGAAUCUUCCGCAAUGGGCGAAAGCUUGACGGAGCAACGCCGCGUGAGUGAUGAAGGUCUUCGGAUCGUAAAACUCUGUUAUUAGGGAAGAACAAAUGUGUAAGUAACUAUGCACGUCUUGACGGUACCUAAUCAGAAAGCCACGGCUAACUACGUG